CCUACGGGUGGCAGCAGUGGGGAAUAUUGCACAAUGGGGGCAACCCUGAUGCAGCGACGCCGCGUGAGUGAAGAAGUAUUUCGGUAUGUAAAGCUCUAUCAGUAGGGAAGAAGAAAGACGGUACCUGACUAAGAAGCCCCGGCCAACUACGUGCCAGCAGCCGCGGUAAUACGCAGGGGGCAAGCGUUAGCCGGAUUUACUGGGUGUAAAGGGAGCGCAGGCGGCGGGGUAAGUCUGCGGUGAAAGCCCAGGGCUCAACCCGGGGACGCCGUUGAAAACGGUGGGGCUGAGGUGUUGAGAGGUACGCGGAAUUCGCGGUGUAGCGGUGAAAUGCGUAGAUAUCACGAAGAACCCCGGUUGCGAAGGCAGCUUACCGGACCGACACUGACGCUGAGGCACGAAAGCGUGGGGAUCGAACAGGAUUAGAUACCCUGGUAGUC
RNAcentral lists this ribosomal RNA (440 nucleotides) under uncultured bacterium. Its description in RNAcentral is "partial 16S ribosomal RNA". It matches the Rfam family "Bacterial small subunit ribosomal RNA", at positions 338 to 795 of the family's 1533-position model. The record is from RNAcentral.